This 418-nucleotide ribosomal RNA is filed under the name uncultured bacterium. RNAcentral describes it as "partial 16S ribosomal RNA". It matches the Rfam family "Bacterial small subunit ribosomal RNA", at positions 355 to 765 of the family's 1533-position model. The record is from RNAcentral.
UAGGGAAUCUUCCACAAUGGACGAAAGUCUGAUGGAGCAACGCCGCGUGAGUGAUGAAGGGUUUCGGCUCGUAAAACUCUGUUGUUGGAGAAGAACAGGUGAUAGAGCAACUGUUAUCAUCUUGACGGUAUCCAACCAGAAAGCCACGGCUAACUACGUGCCAGCAGCCGCGGUAAUACGUAGGUGGCAAGCGUUGUCCGGAUUUAUUGGGCGUAAAGCGAGCGCAGGCGGUUUUUUAGGUCUGAUGUGAAAGCCUUCGGCUUAACCGGAGAAGGGCAUCGGAAACCGGGAGACUUGAGUGCAGAAGAGGACAGUGGAACUCCAUGUGUAGCGGUGAAAUGCGUAGAUAUAUGGAAGAACACCAGUGGCGAAGGCGGCUGUCUGGUCUGUAACUGACGCUGAGGCUCGAAAGCAUGGG